This is an RNA transcript of Micropterus salmoides (largemouth bass), 2445 nucleotides long. It is a transcript of the gene named amyloid beta A4 precursor protein-binding family B member 1-interacting protein-like, with no coding region annotated. The record is from RefSeq and is a predicted model, not a curated record. NCBI's taxonomy places the organism in Eukaryota, Metazoa, Chordata, Actinopteri, Centrarchiformes, Centrarchidae. The transcript is spliced from 14 exons.
CACAUGUACAAGUGGUUACUAAUAGACUUGGUUUUUAGCCUUCACACUCACUUGAAUGCUCCCAUGUGUGAAAGAGAGAGAAAAGAUGGACGACAUAGAUGCCAUGUUCAGUCACCUGCUCGGAGAGAUGGAUCACCUCUCUCAGAGUUUAGGGCCUGCAGCCGAGUCACCAGACAUAAAUCCUACCUCACAGACAGAGAGCACCUUCUCCUUUGGCUUCACAGACUUAAAUGAGUCUCUUAAUGAACUGGAGGACCACGACCUGGAUGCUCUGAUGGCUGACCUUGGAUCAAUAUCGACCUUUAAAAACAGCAGCGAUACAGAUAAUCAACUUUCAGCAUCAGCCAUGACUCAGAAAUCUGAGCCAGCAGCUGCCCUUCCUCCACCACCAAACACUGCUGAAUCAUCUGGAGAGUUGCAGAUGAGCAAGCCCCAUUCAAAGGCAGACAAAAUUAAAUUGGCUCUGGAGAGGCUGAAAGAAGCCAAAGUGAGGAAGUUGAUAGUAAAAGUAAUGAUGAGUGACGGCAGCGCCAAGACACUGAUGGUGGACGAGAGACAGACUGUGCGAGAGGUUUUGGACACGCUGUUUGAGAAGACACACUGUGACUGUAGCAUCGACUGGAGCCUGUGUGAGACCAACCCUGAGCUGCAGAUUGAGAGAGGCUUUGAGGACCAUGAAUAUUUAGUGGAGCCGCUGUCUAUGUGGACUCGCCACAGUGAAAACAAAAUCAAUUUUGUGCUAAGACCUCAGAAGUAUGUGAUGUUCACAGACCCUCAGAUGUUUUACAUGUGGAAAAAGAAGACAGCAUGUUUGAGUGGGAUUAAUGAGCAAGCCAAACAACUCCUACUCAAGGAGCAUUUUGGGGGUUCUAUUGCUAUUGUUCCUGAUCUUGAGGGCACGCUAUACUUAAAGGAAGAUGGGAAAAAGAUUUGGAAACCUCGCUACUUCGUGCUCAGGGCCUCUGGCAUCUACUAUGUACCAAAAGGAAAGACAAAGUCUUCCAGUGAUCUCGCCUGCUUUGUCCGUUUUGAAAAAGUCAAUAUCUACACCACCAAAAGCUACAAACAGAAAUACAGAGCUCCCACCGACUUCUGCUUCAUGCUAAAGCAUCCCUGCAUCCAGAAAGAGUCGCACUACAUCAAAUUCCUGUGCUGUGACAAUGAACACACACUUUUGCUUUGGGUCAACUCCAUCAGAGCAGCCAAGUAUGGGACUGUCCUGUAUGCAAAUUACCAGGCUGCAAUGAAGAGAGCAUCCAGUUUGCAAACUCUCCACUCUGCUGAACACAAGGCAUAGAUUCAUAAAUGCCCUCCCUCAAGCACUGAAUCAACCAGUCGCAGGCCUUAGAAGGUGACAGAUCCAGCAUUCGUGUUGAAGAGUAUCCACAUGAGCCACCACCUGACUUCAUCCCUCCUCCUCCUCCUGGACACACACACUUUUGAGAGACAUCACCUCCUGUGUUUCAGGGUUAACUUCUGCUAGCCCGGAUUUAGCCAAUUUAGCCUACCUUAUGCACACACGUCUGGACAAAUGUCUAGCCUGGACCCAAUAACAUGUUUUAGUAAUGCACACAUGUAUUAGUAGUAGUGCCACAUGCCUCUGAUGCAAAAUAACAUAUUUCAAAAGCAUUUCUUUAUUCUCAGACGUAUAACAUUUAUUUGAAUUUUGUUUUGGACUACAUUUCAGCAACUUACAAAUUUUUACCUCCGUUCCAACAGCUUUACGACACACAAAACACACAGUUUUGUUCAUUGUUUCAACGAGCUGUUUAUUACAAAAAGACUGUACAUAAAUUUCAAUGAACACAUUCUAUGUACAAACUGAGAGAAGACAAAUAUUGGAUUCUGUUCCCAUGAACAUUUAAAUUACUGAUUCCCUCCCCCCACACGUUUCAUCAUUAAGAAAACACACAUCAAAGAAAGGCGCCUUGACCUGUGAUGCCCUGAAAUGCUAGACAUUAAGUGGUAAACAUUACAAAGUUCUGCACGUCAGUGGUUGUCUCAUGAUUUCUCUAUGAAAAAAGUAUAAAUUAAUCCUUUACAUACAAACUGCUUGCGAACCUUCCUCAGCAGUCUCUGACACCACAACAAGCUGAAUGCAAAGCUAGAAAUACAUUAGGUAGAAAAAGUUGUUUUUUCACAAAAAAAUACCUCAAGAUGGGAAAAAAUACAAUCAAGAAUGGGAUGUAGUGGCAAAUCAUUCACUGUAAUGACGUUAAGAUAUUUUCAUGCACAGAGGCUCAAUGAACACUGUUCAUUUGACCGAGUCAUUGUCUUUUCUAGUCUGAAAAUGUUACCUCUGGAUCAUAUUCCUCUCACAACAUCAGAAAGUCUGUAACCAUUCCAAAAUAAGAGUGCAUGUUCAUUCCGAAAGUACAUAUGUAUAUGUUUGUUUAUGUGGCUUGUUACAAACAUAGAUUCUGAGAUAAACAUGAGCUUCAAUGA